Molecule: ribosomal RNA, 468 nt
Filed under: uncultured bacterium
Lineage: Bacteria
Description: partial 16S ribosomal RNA
Rfam family: Bacterial small subunit ribosomal RNA
Source: RNAcentral
GACGAACGCUGGCGGCGUGCUUAACACAUGCAAGUCGAACGGAAAGGCCCUGCUUUUGUGGGGUGCUCGAGUGGCGAACGGGUGAGUAACACGUGAGUAACCUGCCCUUGACUUUGGGAUAACUUCAGGAAACUGGGGCUAAUACCGGAUAGGAGCUCCUGCUGCAUGGUGGGGGUUGGAAAGUUUCGGCGGUUGGGGAUGGACUCGCGGCUUAUCAGCUUGUUGGUGGGGUAGUGGCUUACCAAGGCUUUGACGGGUAGCCGGCCUGAGAGGGUGACCGGCCACAUUGGGACUGAGAGACGGCCCAGACUCCUACGGGAGGCAGCAGUGGGGAAUAUUGCACAAUGGGCGGAAGCCUGAUGCAGAAACGCCGCGUGCGGGAUGACGGCCUUCGGGUGGUAAACCGCUUUCGCCUGUGACGAAGCGUGAGUGACGGUAAUGGGUAAAGAAGCACCGGCUAACUACGUG